CGGGCGUCGGAAAGCGGCCUUCUGGGACUCCGCAAACUCCCGUUCUCCCUCCCCCCUCCCCCUUGCCAUUCCCUUUGCCUUCCGGGCGCCAAGUCUCUCUGGCCUCCAAGGUGAACCCAACUCCCCAGCGCGCCCCGGGUUCCCGGGUCGGGCCGGCUUCAGGCGGUGGGGAGCGGGAUCCCGGGCCCCGGGCGGGCGGGAGGGACGGGACGCGGUGCAGUGUUGUUUUUUCCCCCGCCAAUAUUGCACUCGUCCCGGCCUCCGGCCCCCCCGGCCCCCCGGCCUCCCCGCUACCCCUAGCGGGGCAGCCCCCGCCCUCCUGGCUCUCCAUCCCGGCGGAUCUUUGAUAGACUGGAGUGUCGCCGCUGCCACCACGGGAAAAUGGGUCAUGGAGGAGUGACUUCACCAACAUCACUCAUAGGUGCUUGUGUCCGUGGUGAGAAGGGUGAUGGAGAGAAGUGGCUGCAGUUCCCACCCAUGGAGAGGUCACUGGUGAAUCCCAGCUAAAGAGGAAGGACAGGCCCGGCCUGAGUCCCACAGGCUUACCAUCUGAGUCCUUCUGAUUGGGAUUGGGUACCAGGCGGCAGUUAUCGGGACCAGGAGGCACAUAAUCUGGGAUGCCAUCAUUGUCAUCAUCCCCAUCACACUCAUCUCCAAGUCCAUCGUUAUCAGAGUCCAGCUGGGAGCUAUUUGGCAGCUGUGGGCAGUUGUCCUUGGUGUCCUGAUGCCCAUCCCCAUCGCUAAUCAGAAGAACAGGUUGGUGAAAGUCCCGAACUUUGUCUCCCCACCCAGAGGACAACUGGCCAGGAAAUCUGCCUGUUUCUUGUCUCACCCUCUAGUCCACACUCUGCCUAACACUACGCCCUACCUCACAUUCCUAUUGACAUCUGCUGCAGGUAAUCUCUCCUCACCCAGGCCAACGUCCACAAGCCUGCCUCCCUAUUUCACAGAGACUUCCUAGCUUCCCUGCUUCAUCCCCACCUGAUCCAAAUUCUCACAGGUCCCCCAGCCACCCCUUCAGCCCCAGGCCUGCACCAUCCCCAUCCACGUCGUUGUCACAGGCAUCUCCUUCCCCAUUGCCAUCUGUGUCCUUCUGGUCAUUGUUGGGAACGUUGGGGCAAUUGUCACAGGCAUCACCAAAUGAAUCUGUAUCUGAGUUCUGCUGGUCUUUGUUGGGGAACAGCCGGCAGUUGUCCUGGGCAGAGGGGUGGGAGGGGAAGGGUCAGGUCUCCCCUAAAUCACUUGUCAUCUUGCACCUA
Molecule: long non-coding RNA, 1259 nt
Filed under: Homo sapiens (human)
Lineage: Eukaryota; Metazoa; Chordata; Mammalia; Primates; Hominidae
Description: THBS3 antisense RNA 1
Source: RNAcentral